AAACCAACAGGGAUUGCCCCAGUAGCGGCGAGCGAAGCGGCAAAAGCUCCUCUUUGGAAUCGCUGCGGCGAGUUGUGGAGAGCGCGUGCCCCGGCGCCAGGCCUGUCCAAGUGUCUUGGAACAGAACAUCGCAGAGGGUGAGAAUCCCGUGGGAUGGGCUGAGAGGUGCUGUGCGGGGCGCGUGCGGCGAGUCGAGUUGUUUGGGAAUGCAGCUCCAAGUGGGUGGUAAACUCCAUCUAAGGCUAAAUACCGGCGAGAGACCGAUAGCGAACAAGUACAGUGAUGGAAAGAUGAAAAGCACUUUGAAAAGAGAGUGAAACAGCACGUGAAAUUGUUGAAAGGGAAGGGCUUGCGACCAGACACCGAAAGGGGCCAGCGUCGGGGCUGCGCGCGCGAAAAGCGCACGAGAAUGUGGCUGCUUCGGCAGUGUUACAGCUUGUGCGGGUGGCGCGCGCGGCCCCGAGGACCGCGCAGCAAUGCAAGGACGCUGGCAUAAUGGUCGCCAGCCGC
RNAcentral lists this ribosomal RNA (510 nucleotides) under Metahyphopichia laotica. Its description in RNAcentral is "partial large subunit ribosomal RNA". It matches the Rfam family "Eukaryotic large subunit ribosomal RNA", at positions 62 to 648 of the family's 3401-position model. Lineage: Eukaryota; Fungi; Ascomycota; Pichiomycetes; Serinales; Debaryomycetaceae. The record is from RNAcentral.